RNAcentral lists this long non-coding RNA (473 nucleotides) under Homo sapiens (human). Its description in RNAcentral is "non-protein coding lnc-IL17RA-36:30". The record is from RNAcentral. Lineage: Eukaryota; Metazoa; Chordata; Mammalia; Primates; Hominidae.
AUUUUUACUUCUUUUUGCAGCAGCAAGAUUAAGAAAAUUGUGCAUUCAAUUAUAUCAUCCUUUGCAUUUGGACUAUUUGGAGUUUUCCUGGUCUUACUGGAUGUCACUCUCGUCCUUGCCGACCUAAUUUUCACUGACAGCAAACUUUAUAUUCCUUCGGAGUAUCGUUCUAUUUCUCUAGCUAUUGCCUUAUUUUUUCUCAUGGAUGUUCUUCUUCGAGUAUUUGUAGAAGGGUAAGUUUGAUUAUUUUUAUAAUGCAUUAAGCUAUUUUGUACUUUUAUAAGAAGCACUUUGGGAGGCUGAGGUGGGAGGAUCCCAAGGUCAGGAGUUCGAGACAAUCCUGGCCAACAUGGUGAAACCCCGUCUCUACUAAAAAUACAAAAAUUAGCUGGGUGUGGUGGUGGUUGCCUAUAAUCCCAGCUGCUUGGGAUGCUGAGGCAGGAGAAUCUUUUGAACCUGGGAGGCAGAAGUUG